GAUGAAGAACGUAGCGAAAUGCGAUAAGUAGUGUGAAUUGCAGAAUUCCGUGAAUCAUCGAAUCUUUGAACGCACAUUGCGCCUCCUGGUAGUCCGGGAGGCAUGCCUGUUCGAGCGUCACCAAAUCCAACUCAAGCGGUUUUGCGCUUGGUCGUGGCGGAAGAGUCGGUCUGGUUGCCGUCUCCCCUCCGAAAAUCAACGGCGGAAAGUCACUGGCAGUCAGCGUAGUAGUAUCGUUCGCCGAACAUCCAGUGGCAUUCCUGCCGACGUACCCCCACAAUUCUCGUGGUUGACCUCGGAUCAGGUAGGGAUACCCGCUGAACUUGAGCAUAUCAAUAAGCGGAGGA
Molecule: unclassified non-coding RNA, 347 nt
Filed under: soil metagenome
Description: partial contains 5.8S ribosomal RNA, internal transcribed spacer 2, and large subunit ribosomal RNA
Rfam family: 5.8S ribosomal RNA (bases 1-120)
Source: RNAcentral